Molecule: long non-coding RNA, 3959 nt
Filed under: Lynx pardinus (Iberian lynx)
Lineage: Eukaryota; Metazoa; Chordata; Mammalia; Carnivora; Felidae
Source: RNAcentral
CCGAGCCCGGCAACUUGCGAGCCGGGAAAAGUUUGCGGCGCCUCCGCGGGGCGGCGCGGCGCGGCGCGGCCCGCCCCUGGCGUCCACGGUCACCGCCGGUGACUUUCUGGACUCGUCGUCAGCCCGGGCCGCGGCGCGGCCGGUGGCGACUGCGGGGAGGGCCAGAGUACGUCCGAGGGCUCCCGCGCAAGGGGCUGCGGGUGAGUUGGCUUUUCCGGCACGAGGGGCUUCAGCGGUCCGGGGUGUCUGGGUUUGGGAGAAGGCAAGGAGAGUGCCUUUUAAUACUUUUUAGAGCAGGCGGGGAGAACAAAUAAAAGUGCGAUUGCUUAAGAGUCGCUGACCUGCCACUGACUUGUGAACCGUAUCGGUGGGAACCUUUUAGGAGCCAGAACUACUGAGGGCCUGUGCGGCGUGGGGGUUGGGAGGUGGAAAGAUUAGAAGGUCGCGCACCAGCCCUGCCUGUAACUGGCUCUGCGUGACCUUGGACAAGUGACUUAACUACUUAGAUCUCCUCAUCGGUGAUACAUGAGGCUAGAGCUACAUGAUCUGUGGUGUCUUUCCGUUUUUUAAAUACAUCUCGGUUUGAGAUUUUCCUUGGGCCUCAGCGUGGUACACGAAUUAUGAACCAGUAGGCCAGGAUAUAUUUACAGGCGCAUGGAUUCACCUUUCAGCCUGCUGAUAAGUAACUUUUAAGUCUGAUGUUUUCAAACAGUAAUAUUUGAGGGUUUGAGAGGGUUUUUUUAGUGAGAAAUAAACUAUCCUUUGCUUUAAAACACUUCUUAAAACUGAUCUACUUUGCUGCACCAUUUGGAGUAGUAGGAGCCAGGCUGGGGACAGAGAACCAAGCCUGAGGGUAAAGUGGCAGGUGCCUCCAGCGAUCCCUUCAUCCCAUCUCUGACUCAAUUUAGGGGGAGAACAAGGCUCUUAUUAUACACACGAGAGAGUAAACAGGGCAGGUGUUUUGUUGUCACUGUUUUUCUGUAUUGCUUCUUUCUACUGAAAACUUUUGUGUGGAGGGCAGUGGGGGAGUAGUGGUCUCUAACUUCUGGCAAAGGAAAAGAAAAUGUCACUUACAACCAAAGUAAGUCUUAAACUAAUGUAAAUCUUCCUUACAGAAACAGUAACACAUAAUGCAAGUACAUCUUGAUCUAAUUUUAAUGAAGGAUUGAAAAUAGCUGCUAUGUUCAGUAUCACUGAUGCCAAGAUGGCUUACUUACAUAAUCUUCUUUGUUGGGAUGUGUUAGUGACGUGUAUAAUUUUGAUAAAUUAUUAAUGUUAAAGGUUUAGUCUGAGAAUGCUUUUGGAAUAUUGUCAUUACAGGUUGUGUUGCAAUACAAUGAAGUGUUAACUUUCCUUUAUAAUGAUAACGUGCAUUUUUUCCCCAAAAAGUGAAAUCAAGCAUUUUCCCUAACCCAAAUUCUUUUAACUAUUAUAUAUUCAUCAGUACAGAAUACAGGAGAAGUUAUUUUGUUCUCUCAAUAAUAAAUUUUCCCAGUUUUGUCAUUAUUUAUGAGCAUGCCUUCUAGGAGUUAGGUGCUCCACUGGACAUUUUCUCUUCUCGUGGAGCUUAUAACAACAAAAGAUGAUUUCUUUUAAUGUAAGUGCAUAAAUAUACUCAAUAAAUACUCACUGGAAAAAAUACCCAGUGCUCAGAUAAGAAUAAUUUAAAAUUCUUUUCGCCCAUCCUUAAAGAGAAUCAUUAUCAUGCUUUAGGGGAAAGAGAGAAGGUGUCAAAGAAAACUGGCAGAAAAACCAAGCUUAAUUCCAGUAUCUAUCCUGAAAGAUUGUAUUUUAAAAUAGGGAUACAGAUUUAGAAACAAAGACAAUUGAUAGGGUUUAUAGGCAAAAGAUAGCAAUACUGAUUUAACAUAAUACAUUUUAUGACCUAGCUUUCUUUGAAGAGCACAAACCUUUGAAAAGGUAUGUUUCGGGAAUUAUCAGUAGUUGUUUACAUUGUGAUUGAAUGUCUAAUUAAAUGGCCAAAUCAUAACCAUAAUAUUUCAAUAGAGUGUUAUCUGAUUUUUAAACUCAUUGUUAAAAUAACAUGAAAUGAACCUUUCAAUGUAGUUGCAUGAAGGAAAGUAUACCUUUUGAAAUCAACUAAAUCUGCAGUUAAAAAAUUAACUCCAAUCUUACACCAAAUAUAAAAUAAGCACUGGAAGUAGCAUCUUUCCAAGAAGGUCUUCACUCUAGAUAAAUGCUAUGUGUGUAGAGGGAUCCUGUGUGGACCACAUCAUGUAUAAAAUAUUCUGAUUUUCCUAAGGGAAAAUAGUCUAUGUAUGUGUAAUAGUCUAUUUGUUGACAUAAGGAAUUUAAGUCCCCAAUAUUUAUAAGCCUGGAAACUUCUGGAAAGCCUUCUAGACUUAUUUAAAAGUAACCACUCAACCUAAAACAUGGCAUUGAUAUUUGAACAACAAGCUGACUUUGUAGAAUGUGCAUUCUCCUCAUAGCAGGUUUGCUGGUUUGGCUGUCUUACAGGGGGUUAGAGCAGUGAAGUGAGUAUGGUCCUUUGACCACUUGUAUCAGAAUCUUCUGUAGCACCUGGCAAACUUCAGACUGCUGGGCAACUUCCUACACUUAAAGGAUCAGAAUGUCUGUGAGCAGAACCUAGAGUCUGUAUUCUUAAUAAGCUUCCUCCCAAAGUGAGAAUUAAUCACACUAAAUUUUGAGAAUUAGAGUUUUCUUGCCAAUGUUUAAUGGCAACUGUUGCUUUCCCCAGGAACAUUUAAAAAGUACUUCUACCCCACCAUGCUCUCUGCCCUGAUCACUUCCUCUCCAGCACCAAAAUUGGUGGUUUCAUCUCUUAGUUGUGGCCAGGGAUCUCCUCACAAGCCACUUCUAUAAGCAAGCCAAAAUACCACCUACCUUCUAAUUAAUAAGCACAGUUAAGCCUGCUUUGGAGCACAGGGCCAAGAGACCCCUUCUACUAUGGGAUAUUCCCACCACCCUCUCUUCCAGUCACCUCCUAAGUCAACUAGAGACAUUAAGUUUCAAGCAAAUAAUUGGGAAUGGACCCCAAGGAGCAGAAGGUGUGAGAGGGAACAGAGCUAGAAUGCAGCAUGGAAACCUAUCCCCUCAACAUAGUUUAACACCCAUAUUUGAUGAUUUUAGUUCUCAAGCUGAUAUUUUGGCAGUCAAGCAAGUGGCUGAACCCAGGCCCCAUGCUGUCUUAUUAAAACUUUCAUUUGCAAACCCAUAAAAUGGCUUCUGUAACCUCUGUAUGCAUAAAACCCCAACAUUUCAGUAUUUUCAUGUUUAUUGAAGAAAAAGGGAAGAGUUUAGGAGAGAAGUUCAAAGCAUAGGCCAAGGGGUCAGCCACACCUGAUACAAAUCCUAGCGUUGCCAUUUAUUAGCUAGGUGACUUUGAGCUGUACCCUCUACCUACCCUCUAUGCUUUAGUUUCCUUACUUGGAAAAUGAGGAUAAUAGUAUCCGCCUCAUAGGAGUUGUUUUGGUAAUUAUGUAAUACACAAAUUAGUGACAGAUAAUAAUUUUCACUCAGUACAUACUCCAUAUAUGUACUUUUAAUUUAUUAUAGUAAUUUUUUAAAAAUUUCUUUUCUAGCCCUGGAGAGUUGCUGUAGAAGAGGGAUAAGAGAGGAAGACAACACAGGAGGAGAUAAGUCACUCUGGAUACAAGGGAAGGUCAUACCACUAUAUAGUAAUUAUUGAGCAGAGGGGAAAGGGACAAGGGAAGGAGUAGACUGCAGUCCAGCUAAUAACCUGGGUUUCCUCAUGUAUCACCCUGGCUCAGGUGCUGUCUCCUCUACCCCCUCCCUUUUUAUACCCCUUUAUUUAGUACUUAAAUACUUUUCUGAUUCACUUUGAGAAACAUUGAUUAUGUUGUCUGCCUCAAAAUGUUAAUCUUGGUUUUGGAUUUUAGGCUCUGUGAUCCUCAACCUUGCAAUGGCUUAGGGGUAGCAACUGUCUCCUCUCUUGGAAUCUAGCCUUUGGAAUUAUU